Molecule: ribosomal RNA, 253 nt
Filed under: uncultured bacterium
Lineage: Bacteria
Description: partial 16S ribosomal RNA
Rfam family: Bacterial small subunit ribosomal RNA
Source: RNAcentral
UACAGAGGUCUCAACCGUUGUUCGGAUUUAUUGGGCGUAAAGGGUGCGUAGGCGGUCGUGCAAGUCGGAUGUGAAAUCUCAGGGCUCAACCCUGAAACUGCAUUCGAUACUGCGUGGCUAGAGUGCUGGAGAGGAGACUGGAAUUUACGGUGUAGCAGUGAAAUGCGUAGAUAUCGUAAGGAAGACCAGUGGCGAAGGCGAGUCUCUGGACAGCAACUGACGCUGAGGCACGAAGGCCAGGGGAGCAAACGGG